This is a long non-coding RNA of Oncorhynchus keta (chum salmon), 974 nucleotides long. RefSeq lists it as uncharacterized. The record is from RefSeq and is a predicted model, not a curated record. The transcript has 3 exons. NCBI's taxonomy places the organism in Eukaryota, Metazoa, Chordata, Actinopteri, Salmoniformes, Salmonidae.
AUGGGGGCAGACUGAUGGAUUAGACCAGUGCUCUCCAACCCUGUUCCUUGGAGAGCUACCCUCCUGUAGGUUUUAACUCCAACCUUGUUCCUUGGAGAGCUACCCUCCUGUAGGUUUUAACUCCAACCCUGUUCCUGGAGAUCUACCCUCCUGUAGGGUUUAACUCCAACCCUGUUCCUGGAGAUCUACCCUCCUGUAGGUUUUAACUCCAACCCUGUUCCUGGAGAUCUACCCUCCUGUAGGUUUUAACUCCAACCCUGUUCCUGGAGAGCUACCCUCCUGUAGGUUUUAACUCCAACCCUGUUCCUGGAGAGCUACCCUCCUGUAGGUUUUAACUCCAACCCUGUUCCUGGAGAGCUACCCUCCUGUAGGUUUUAACUCCAACCCUGUUCCUGGAGAGCUACCCUCCUGUAGGUUUUAACUCCAACCCUGUUCCUUGGAGAGCUGCCCUCCUGUAGGUUUUAACAAGAUUAAUAGACAGGAACAGUUUCAGGACAGAAGUACAUACAUCUAAAAAUGGCACACAUAGCCUACAUAUUAAUACAUACACACAAACGAUGGCGUUGUGCCAUGAGGGGUUGUUUUGUCUGUUUUUUUUUAACCAGGUUUGCUGUUUAUUUCAGCAAUAUGAGGUGGAAGGGAGUUCCAUGCAAUAAUGGCUCUAUAUAAUACUGUACACUUUCUAGAAUUUUUUCAGGAUUUUUGAGACUAUGAAAAGACCCGGGUGGCAUGUCUGGUGGGAUAAGUGUGUGGGUGUCAGAGCUGUGUGUAAGUUGACUAAGCAAACAACUUGGAAUUUUCAACACGUGAAUGUUUCUUAUGAAAAGAAGUGAUGCAGUCAGAAUCUCCUUAACUCUUAGCCAAGAAAGACUGGCAUGCAUAGUAUUUACAGUGACUUCGGAAAGUAUUCAGACCCCUUGACCUUUUCCACAUUAUGUUACAUUGUAUUCCUCUUUAAGGAAUACCUAGGAUAG